Molecule: ribosomal RNA, 264 nt
Filed under: unidentified alpha proteobacterium groupF
Lineage: Bacteria; Pseudomonadati; Pseudomonadota; Alphaproteobacteria
Description: partial 16S small subunit ribosomal RNA
Rfam family: Bacterial small subunit ribosomal RNA
Source: RNAcentral
CUCACUUAGUUGCCAUCAUUAAGUGGGCACUCUGAAAGAACUGCCAGUGAUAAGCUGGAGGAAGGUGGGGAUGACGUCAAGUCCUCAUGGCCCUUACGUGUUGGGCUACACACGUGCUACAAUGGCAUCUACAACAGGAAGCAAAACGGCAACGUUAAGCAAAUCCCGAAAAGAUGCCUCAGUUCGGAUUGCACUCUGCAACUCGAGUGCAUGAAGCUGGAAUUACUAGUAAUCGUGGAUCAGCGUGCCACGGUGAAUGCGUUC